This 383-nucleotide ribosomal RNA is filed under the name uncultured bacterium. RNAcentral describes it as "bacterial SSU rRNA". It matches the Rfam family "Bacterial small subunit ribosomal RNA", at positions 32 to 407 of the family's 1533-position model. The record is from RNAcentral.
AAUCAACGCUGGCGGCGUGCCUCAGACAUGCAAGUCGAACGAUUAAAGCUCUCUUCGGAGAGUGCAUAGAGUGGCGCACGGGUGAGUAACACGUGAGUAAUCUACCCUCGAGUGGGGAAUAACGUCCGGAAACGGGCGCUAAUACCGCAUAACGCAGCAGCACCGUAAGGUGACAGUUGUUAAAGAUUUAUCGCUUGAGGAGGAGCUCGCGGCAGAUUAGCUAGUUGGUGGGGUAAUGGCCUACCAAGGCGACGAUCUGUAACCGGUCUUAGAGGACGGUCGGUCACACUGACACUGAAUAACGGGUCAGACUCCUACGGGAGGCAGCAGUCGGGAAUUUUGGACAAUGGGCGCAAGCCUGAUCCAGCAAUGCCGCGUGCAGG